Molecule: long non-coding RNA, 726 nt
Organism: Marmota monax (woodchuck)
Lineage: Eukaryota; Metazoa; Chordata; Mammalia; Rodentia; Sciuridae
Exons: 2
Source: RefSeq, a predicted model, not a curated record
CACUGGAAAACAAAAUCAUAGGUAAGGGGUAACCAGUGUUCAGUGGCCAUCCUAGAAGUCCUUACCAGAGGCCUCUGCAGCUUACCUGGGUCCUUUGAAGUCAAAUGGAUGCAGAAUUUAAAGUACUGUGUGUGAGAGCUUCUGAUUGACAAAACCAGUUAUAGAACGAAUCCUGUGAUAUCACUAAGUGGCAGAAUCACUGACUACAGACAAACUUUCUAACAACACUGCUCCCUGACAUCUGGAGAGAGCGAGACAUUGGGGUUGCUGUUAAAGAAGUACUAAGUCUCAGUUAUGUAAGAUGAAAAGUUCUAGAGAUCUACUGUACAAUACUGUGAUACUGUAUUUUGCACUUAAAAGUUGUGAGAUGACAUUUCUCAAGGUAACUGUUCUUACCACCCCACCACCAUAACAAAAAAAUCAAGUCCAUAUUCUUAAUUAGCCAUCAUUCUAAAAUAAUUAAGAACAAAAUAAUCAGUCAAAAUCAGUAAUGAACUAGAAAGAGGUAAAUUAAAAAAUAUUCAUUUUAAUGUGAUCCAGAACUUAGUUAUCUGAUUCAUGUAAUUUUCCACAUGAGCUUCUUUAUUAUGGCAUUUAAAAUUAUGAAUUUUCAGAGCUGUGAGCAAAGAUCCUCUCUCAGGGGAAAAUAUACUUCUGUCUGCUGCAGAGGCCCUUGCAAUUUGUACACCGUCAUUUCUAUUUCCUCUAUUAUACUGUUUCUACUCA